GAAAAAUGACCCCAGCGAGAGCCGGGAUGGGCUCCGCAUCUCAAGUGGCUCCCCGGGAGAGGCCAGACGGUGCCCUCCGCCAGGAGCUCGGCGGCAGGAGGCGGAGGGCGGUGGUAAAGGCACUGCUCUGCCUGCAGCUGGUGCUGGGAUGGGGCAGGCAGCGCAGGGAUUUUUCUCUCGUGGGAGUUUCCUCCAACUCCAUCAACAGGUCGUUCUGAUUUCCCCUCGUUAGUGAAAGGAGAAUCAGACCCUAAAAGGGCUCUGAGAGGUGCUGGUUGUACACCCAAACCUGCAGGUGAUGGUUCUGGUCCCUCUCCCUGCCAGCUCUGGGUGCUUGUGGCAAAGAGAGGGUGAGCCCUCUGUAGGCGAGGGAAACUGAGGCAUGGAGAGAAGGGGCUUGGUGAGCUGUGGGAGGGAGCCCCAGUGCCUUGCACACCUUUUUGGGCCCAUUUUCCCUUGAUCUGGGAAAUCACUUACAUGCUGAACCCCAUCUGAGCUUGGGCAUGGAGCCCUCCUGUGGGAGGGCUGGAGAGCAGCAGUGGGUGCUCGUGGGGCAGGGGUGGGGGGGACUUGGUUUGGGGCCCCUCUUGGCAUCUUAAAAGCUCUUUUGGCUGCUCAAACAAACUUCUCUGUGCCUUUGCAAAGCUCUCCUCUGGCUGCCCUGUGUCCGCUGGAGAGACACGCAUGUCCUCUGCGCUGGUGGCUGGGGACAGAGGGACACCUUGAACGGACAGAAAGGGCUGCAGCGGGGCAUCUCCUGGUGCUGGUGCCAAGGACAGACCCCUCCUGUCUGCAGCACCCUCCUGGCGAGGACCAGCACGGUUCCCCAGCACGGCAGCUCCCUGCCAGGCUUGCUUCUGGAACAGCCGCAGAUCUCGUGCAGCUCUUUAAUCAAACGUUUCAGAGCCUCAAGAGCUGGAAAGGAUUCGGGGAAUGCGGCUGGGUUGUUUGCAAACUUCUCCGGGCUCCAGGCGUGCUCCCGGCUCUCCUUUCUCCAAGACCAAAGGGAACCCGAGCCGGGAGCCCUGCAGAUGUGAGCUUCACCCCAAUACGGGGCUGGGACCAGGCACACGAGCCAGAGCCAGUGGCCACAUUCAGGAUAUUUAGGCUGGGUCCUGGCUGGAGCAAGGAUCUGCAGCAAAGCCCAGGGCACGUGGAAGUGGGAGCCGCCUCCCUGCUGAGCUCUGCGGGAUGCAGCAGCCCGUGGUUAGGGCUGGGCCCUCUGCAGCUGACCUCGGGUGGUGUUUCAGCGUCCAAAAGAACUUCAGCGGCUUCGAGGGUGAUGCCUCCCUUGGAAACAGCAACCUGA
Molecule: long non-coding RNA, 1309 nt
Filed under: Anser cygnoides (Swan goose)
Lineage: Eukaryota; Metazoa; Chordata; Aves; Anseriformes; Anatidae
Description: lncRNA (ENSACDG00005001658.1)
Source: RNAcentral